This 20-nucleotide microRNA is filed under the name Gallus gallus (chicken). Its description in RNAcentral is "Gga-Mir-1668_3p (mature (guide))". The record is from RNAcentral. Lineage: Eukaryota; Metazoa; Chordata; Aves; Galliformes; Phasianidae.
UGCUGUGUCCUCACUCACCU